RNAcentral lists this ribosomal RNA (1545 nucleotides) under Escherichia coli. Its description in RNAcentral is "partial 23S ribosomal RNA". It matches the Rfam family "Bacterial large subunit ribosomal RNA", at positions 1214 to 2741 of the family's 2925-position model. Lineage: Bacteria; Pseudomonadati; Pseudomonadota; Gammaproteobacteria; Enterobacterales; Enterobacteriaceae. The record is from RNAcentral.
CUGUGUGUUGUUGGGUAGGGGAGCGUUCUGUAAGCCUGCGAAGGUGUGCUGUGAGGCAUGCUGGAGGUAUCAGAAGUGCGAAUGCUGACAUAAGUAACGAUAAAGCGGGUGAAAAACCCGCUCGCCGGAAGACCAAGGGUUCCUGUCCAACGUUAAUCGGGGCAGGGUGAGUCGACCCCUAAGGCGAGGCCGAAAGGCGUAGUCGAUGGGAAACAGGUUAAUAUUCCUGUACUUGGUGUUACUGCGAAGGGGGGACGGAGAAGGCUAUGUUGGCCGGGCGACGGUUGUCCCGGUUUAAGCGUGUAGGCUGGUUUUCCAGGCAAAUCCGGAAAACCAAGGCUGAGGCGUGAUGACGAGGCACUACGGUGCUGAAGCGACAAAUGCCCUGCUUCCAGGAAAAGCCUCUAAGCAUCAGGUAACAUCAAAUCGUACCCCAAACCGACACAGGUGGUCAGGUAGAGAAUACCAAGGCGCUUGAGAGAACUCGGGUGAAGGAACUAGGCAAAAUGGUGCCGUAACUUCGGGAGAAGGCACGCUGAUAUGUAGGUGAAGCGACUUGCUCGUGGAGCUGAAAUCAGUCGAAGAUACCAGCUGGCUGCAACUGUUUAUUAAAAACACAGCACUGUGCAAACACGAAAGUGGACGUAUACGGUGUGACGCCUGCCCGGUGCCGGAAGGUUAAUUGAUGGGGUUAGCGGCAACGCGAAGCUCUUGAUCGAAGCCCCGGUAAACGGCGGCCGUAACUAUAACGGUCCUAAGGUAGCGAAAUUCCUUGUCGGGUAAGUUCCGACCUGCACGAAUGGCGUAAUGAUGGCCAGGCUGUCUCCACCCGAGACUCAGUGAAAUUGAACUCGCUGUGAAGAUGCAGUGUACCCGCGGCAAGACGGAAAGACCCCGUGAACCUUUACUAUAGCUUGACACUGAACAUUGAGCCUUGAUGUGUAGGAUAGGUGGGAGGCUUUGAAGUGUGGACGCCAGUCUGCAUGGAGCCGACCUUGAAAUACCACCCUUUAAUGUUUGAUGUUCUAACGUUGGCCCCUAAUCGGGGUUGCGGACAGUGUCUGGUGGGUAGUUUGACUGGGGCGGUCUCCUCCUAAAGAGUAACGGAGGAGCACGAAGGUUGGCUAAUCCUGGUCGGACAUCAGGAGGUUAGUGCAAUGGCAUAAGCCAGCUUGACUGCGAGCGUGACGGCGCGAGCAGGUGCGAAAGCAGGUCAUAGUGAUCCGGUGGUUCUGAAUGGAAGGGCCAUCGCUCAACGGAUAAAAGGUACUCCGGGGAUAACAGGCUGAUACCGCCCAAGAGUUCAUAUCGACGGCGGUGUUUGGCACCUCGAUGUCGGCUCAUCACAUCCUGGGGCUGAAGUAGGUCCCAAGGGUAUGGCUGUUCGCCAUUUAAAGUGGUACGCGAGCUGGGUUUAGAACGUCGUGAGACAGUUCGGUCCCUAUCUGCCGUGGGCGCUGGAGAACUGAGGGGGGCUGCUCCUAGUACGAGAGGACCGGAGUGGACGCAUCACUGGUGUUCGGGUUGUCAUGCCAAUGGCACUGC